AACUUUAACAACAAAUAACUUAAAAACUAUAAGCCUCCUGCGGCUAAAAGUAUAUAUAUUUGCAAUCAGGAGAACUCCCCCUACCCCCCCAUAGCCACCUUUUUUUUGUACGCGGGGGAUGCCAAACUAAAAUUUUGCCAA
Molecule: long non-coding RNA, 141 nt
Organism: Rhagoletis pomonella (apple maggot)
Lineage: Eukaryota; Metazoa; Arthropoda; Insecta; Diptera; Tephritidae
Exons: 3
Source: RefSeq, a predicted model, not a curated record